This 400-nucleotide ribosomal RNA is filed under the name uncultured bacterium. Its description in RNAcentral is "bacterial SSU rRNA". It matches the Rfam family "Bacterial small subunit ribosomal RNA", at positions 355 to 752 of the family's 1533-position model. The record is from RNAcentral.
UGAGGAAUAUUGGGCAAUGGACGCAAGUCUGACCCAGCCAUGCCGCGUGAAGGAUGAAGGUCCUCUGGAUUGUAAACUUCUUUUAUUGGGGAAGAAACCCUGGAUUUCUAUCUAGGUUGACGGUACCCAAGGAAUAAGCACCGGCUAACUCCGUGCCAGCAGCCGCGGUAAUACGGAGGGUGCAAGCGUUAUCCGGAUUCACUGGGUUUAAAGGGUGCGUAGGCGGGCUUUUAAGUCAGUGGUGAAAUCCCAGAGCUUAACUCUGGAACUGCCAUUGAUACUGAAAGUCUUGAAUAUCCUGGAGGUGGGCGGAAUAUGUCAUGUAGCGGUGAAAUGCUUAGAUAUGACAUAGAACACCAAUUGCGAAGGCAGCUCACUACGGGACGAUUGACGCUGAGGC